CGCCUUGCCAGCCCGCUCAGAAACUCAAAGGAAUUGACGGGGGCCCGCACAAGCGGAGGAGCAUGUGGUUUAAUUCGAUGAUACGCGAGGAACCUUACCUGGGCUCGAACGUAAGAUGACUGUAGGUGAAAGCUUACAUCUCUUCGGAGCAUUUUACGAGGUGCUGCAUGGUUGUCGUCAGCUCGUGCCGUGAGGUGUCGGGUUAAGUCCCAUAACGAGCGCAACCCCUACCUUUAGUUGCCAUCAGGUUAAGCUGGGGACUCUAAAGGAACUGCCUACGCAAGUAGUGAGGAAGGCGGGGAUGACGUCAAAUCAGCACGGCCCUUACGUCCAGGGCUACACACGUGCUACAAUGGCCGAUACAGAGGGCAGCUACCUGGUGACAGGAUGCAAAUCUCCAAAGUCGGUCUCAGUUCGGAUCGGAGUCUGCAACCCGACUCCGUGAAGUUGGAUUCGCUAGUAAUCGCGAAUCAGAAUGUCACGGUGAAUACGUUCCCGGGCCUU
RNAcentral lists this ribosomal RNA (504 nucleotides) under uncultured Sphingobacteriales bacterium. Its description in RNAcentral is "bacterial SSU rRNA". It matches the Rfam family "Bacterial small subunit ribosomal RNA", at positions 903 to 1382 of the family's 1533-position model. The record is from RNAcentral. Lineage: Bacteria; Pseudomonadati; Bacteroidota; Sphingobacteriia; Sphingobacteriales.